UACAGAGGGUGCAAGCGUUAAUCGGAGUCACUGGGCGUAAAGCGCGUGUAGGCGGUCUGUUAAGUCGGAUGUGAAAGCUCCGGGCUCAACUCGGAAAUUGCAUCCGAUACUGGCAGACUUGAGGACGGUAGAGGUCGGUGGAAUAGCGAGUGUACCGGUGAAAUGCGUAGAGAUCGGGGGAACACCCGUGGCGAAGGCGGCCGGCUGGGCCGUUCCUGACGCUGAGGCGCGAAGGCGUGGGGAGCGAACGGG
This 252-nucleotide ribosomal RNA is filed under the name uncultured bacterium. RNAcentral describes it as "partial 16S ribosomal RNA". It matches the Rfam family "Bacterial small subunit ribosomal RNA", at positions 524 to 776 of the family's 1533-position model. The record is from RNAcentral.